This 253-nucleotide ribosomal RNA is filed under the name uncultured bacterium. Its description in RNAcentral is "partial 16S ribosomal RNA". It matches the Rfam family "Bacterial small subunit ribosomal RNA", at positions 524 to 776 of the family's 1533-position model. The record is from RNAcentral.
UACGGAGGGAGCUAGCGUUGUUCGGAAUUACUGGGCGUAAAGCGCACGUAGGCGGCUUUGUAAGUUAGAGGUGAAAGCCCGGGGCUCAACUCCGGAACUGCCUUUAAGACUGCAUCGCUUGAAUCCAGGAGAGGUGAGUGGAAUUCCGAGUGUAGAGGUGAAAUUCGUAGAUAUUCGGAAGAACACCAGUGGCGAAGGCGGCUCACUGGACUGGUAUUGACGCUGAGGUGCGAGAGCGUGGGGAGCAAACAGG